CUCCUCCGAUCCUCCUCCGUUCCUCUUCCUGGGCUGAAUGCGCACGCGCGGCAAGAGCUGGGCGCGCAUUCAGCCCGUCGCAUAGGAAAGCAUUUACAAUCACAGUGAGAAGCACGCAAGCGCCUCUAGUGGCUGUCAAUGAGACAGCCACUAGAGGAUUAGGGGGAAGGCUUAACCCAUUCAUAAACAUAGCAGUUUCUCUGAAACUGCUAUGUUUAUAAAAAAUGGGUUAACCCUAGAAGGACCUGGCACCCAGACCACUUCAUUAAGCUGAAGUGGUCUGGGUGCCUAGAG
This is a non-coding RNA of Pelobates cultripes (western spadefoot toad), 294 nucleotides long. The record is from the annotation of a GenBank genome assembly. NCBI's taxonomy places the organism in Eukaryota, Metazoa, Chordata, Amphibia, Anura, Pelobatidae.